GUGGGUAUAGCUCAGUUGGUAGAGCCCCGGAUUGUGGAUCCGGUCGUCGUGGGUUCGAGUCCCAUUACCCACCCCA
Molecule: transfer RNA, 76 nt
Filed under: Gammaproteobacteria bacterium
Lineage: Bacteria; Pseudomonadati; Pseudomonadota; Gammaproteobacteria
Description: tRNA-His
Rfam family: tRNA
About the family: Transfer RNA (tRNA) molecules are approximately 80 nucleotides in length. Their secondary structure includes four short double-helical elements and three loops (D, anti-codon, and T loops).
Source: RNAcentral